This 946-nucleotide ribosomal RNA is filed under the name Arthrobacter sp. RNAcentral's name for it is "bacterial SSU rRNA". It matches the Rfam family "Bacterial small subunit ribosomal RNA", at positions 88 to 1047 of the family's 1533-position model. The record is from RNAcentral. Lineage: Bacteria; Bacillati; Actinomycetota; Actinomycetes; Micrococcales; Micrococcaceae.
UGGAUUAGUGGCGAACGGGUGAGUAACCCGUGAGUAACCUGCCCUUGACUCUGGGAUAAGCCUGGGAAACUGGGUCUAAUACCGGAUAUGACCUUCCAUCGCAUGGUGGUUGGUGGAAAGCUUUUGUGGUUUUGGAUGGACUCGCGGCCUAUCAGCUUGUUGGUGAGGUAAUGGCUUACCAAGGCGACGACGGGUAGCCGGCCUGAGAGGGUGACCGGCCACACUGGGACUGAGACACGGCCCAGACUCCUACGGGAGGCAGCAGUGGGGAAUAUUGCACAAUGGGCGCAAGCCUGAUGCAGCGACGCCGCGUGAGGGAUGACGGCCUUCGGGUUGUAAACCUCUUUCAGUAGGGAAGAAGCGAAAGUGACGGUACCUGCAGAAGAAGCGCCGGCUAACUACGUGCCAGCAGCCGCGGUAAUACGUAGGGCGCAAGCGUUAUCCGGAAUUAUUGGGCGUAAAGAGCUCGUAGGCGGUUUGUCGCGUCUGCCGUGAAAGUCCGGGGCUCAACUCCGGAUCUGCGGUGGGUACGGGCAGACUAGAGUGAUGUAGGGGAGACUGGAAUUCCUGGUGUAGCGGUGAAAUGCGCAGAUAUCAGGAGGAACACCGAUGGCGAAGGCAGGUCUCUGGGCAUUAACUGACGCUGAGGAGCGAAAGCAUGGGGAGCGAACAGGAUUAGAUACCCUGGUAGUCCAUGCCGUAAACGUUGGGCACUAGGUGUGGGGGACAUUCCACGUUUUCCGCGCCGUAGCUAACGCAUUAAGUGCCCCGCCUGGGGAGUACGGCCGCAAGGCUAAACUCAAAGGAAUUGACGGGGGCCCGCACAAGCGGCGGAGCAUGCGGAUUAAUUCGAUGCAACGCGAAGAACCUUACCAAGGCUUGACAUGGACCGGACCGCCGCAGAAAUGUGGUUUCCCCUUUGGGGCUGGUUUACAGGUGGUGCAUG